GAGGGGGGUAGAAUUUCAGGUGUAGCGGUGAAAUGCGUAGAGAUCUGAAGGAAUACCAGUGGCGAAGGCGGCCCCCUGGACAAAGACUGACGCUCAGAUGCGAAAGCGUGGGUAGCAAACAGGAUUAGAUACCCUGGUAGUCCACGCCGUAAACGCUGUCUACUUGGAGGUUGAGGUUUAAGACUUUGGCUUUCGGCGCUAACGCAUUAAGUAGACCGCCUGGGGAGUACGGCCGCAAGGUUAAAACUCAAAUGAAUUGACGGGGGCCCGCACAAGCGGUGGAGCAUGUGGUUUAAUUCGAUGCAACGCGAAGAACCUUACCUACUCUUGACAUCCAGCGAAGCCUUUAGAGAUAGAGGCGUGCCUUCGGGAACUCUGAGACAGGUGCUGCAUGGCUGUCGUCAGCUCGUGUUGUGAAAUGUUGGGUUAAGUCCCGCAACGAGCGCAACCCUUAUCCUUGUUUGCCAGCACAUAAUGGUGGGAACUCCAGGGAGACUGCCGGUGAUAAACCGGAGGAAGGUGGGGACGACGUCAAGUCAUCAUGGCCCUUACGAGUAGGGCUACACACGUGCUACAAUGGCAGAUACAGAGGGCAGCGAAGCUGCGAAGUGGAGCGAAUCCCUUAAAGUCUGUCGUAGUCCGGAUUGGAGUCUGCAACUCGACUCCAUGAAGUCGGAAUCGCUAGUAAUCGUGGAUCAGAAUGCCACGGUGAAUACGUUCCCGGGCCUUGCACACACCGCCCGU
This 744-nucleotide ribosomal RNA is filed under the name uncultured bacterium. RNAcentral's name for it is "bacterial SSU rRNA". It matches the Rfam family "Bacterial small subunit ribosomal RNA", at positions 654 to 1397 of the family's 1533-position model. The record is from RNAcentral.